RNAcentral lists this ribosomal RNA (442 nucleotides) under uncultured bacterium. RNAcentral's name for it is "partial 16S ribosomal RNA". It matches the Rfam family "Bacterial small subunit ribosomal RNA", at positions 338 to 795 of the family's 1533-position model. The record is from RNAcentral.
CCUACGGGAGACAGCAGUGGGGAAUAUUGGGCAAUGGGCGCAAGCCUGACCCAGCAACGCCGCGUGCAGGAAGAAGGCUCUAGGGUUGUAAACUUCUUUUGACAGGGAAGAGUAGAAGACGGUACCUGUCGAAUAAGCCACGGCUAACUACGUGCCAGCAGCCGCGGUAAUACGUAGGUGGCAAGCGUUGUCCGGAUUUACUGGGUGUAAAGGGCGUGUAGCCGGGUUGACAAGUCAGAUGUGAAAUCCUGCGGCUUAACCGCCGAACUGCAUUUGAAACUGGUGAUCUUGAGUACUGGAGAGGCAGACGGAAUUCGUAGUGUAGCGGUGAAAUGCGUAGAUAUUAGGAGGAACACCAGUGGCGAAGGCAGUCUGCUGGACAGCAACUGACGGUGAGGCGCGAAAGCGUUGGGAGCAAACAGGAUUAGAUACCCUGGUAGUC